UCUCUCUCUCUCUCUCUUACCCUACCUGUUAGGGGUUAACUCUCUCUCUCUCUUACCCUACCUGUUAGGGGUUGACUCUCUCUCUCUCUCUUACCCUACCUGUUAGGGGUUAACUCUCUCUCUCUUACCCUACCUGUUAGGGGUUGACUCUCUCUCUCUCUUACCCUACCUGUUAGGGGUUAACUCUCUCUCUCUCUUACCCUACCUGUUAGGGGUUAACUCUCUCUCUCUCUCUCUUACCCUACCUGUUAGGGGUUAACUCUCUCUCUCUCUCUCUUACCCUACCUGUUAGGGGUUGACUCUCUCUCUCUCUUACCCUACCUGUUAGGGGUUAACUCUCUCUCUCUCUUACCCUACCUGUUAGGGGUUGACUCUCUCUCUCUCUCUCUCUUACCCUACCUGUUAGGGGUUAACUCUCUCUCUCUCUCUCUCUUACCCUACCUGUUAGGGGUUGACUCUCUCUCUCUCUCUCUUACCCUACCUGUUAGGGGUUGACUCUCUCUCUCUCUUACCCUACCUGUUAGGGGUUAACUCUCUCUCUCUCUUACCCUACCUGUUAGGGGUUAACUCUCUCUCUCUCUUACCCUACCUGUUAGGGGUUAACUCUCUCUCUCUCUUACCCUACCUGUUAGGGGUUGACUCUCUCUCUCUCUCUCUCUUACCCUACCUGUUAGGGGUUAACUCUCUCUCUCUCUUACCCUACCUGUUAGGGGUUAACUCUCUCUCUCUCUUACCCUACCUGUUAGGGGUUAACUCUCUCUCUCUCUUACCCUACCUGUUAGGGGUUAACUCUCUCUCUCUCUCUCUUACCCUACCUGUUAGGGGUUAACUCUCUCUCUCUCUUACCCUACCUGUUAGGGGUUAACUCUCUCUCUCUCUUACCCUACCUGUUAGGGGUUAACUCUCUCUCUCUCUUACCCUACCUGUUAGGGGUUAACUCUCUCUCUCUCUCUCUUACCCUACCUGUUAGGGGUUAACUCUCUCUCUCUCUCUCUUACCCUACCUGUUAGGGGUUAACUCUCUCUCUCUCUUACCCUACCUGUUAGGGGUUAACUCUCUCUCUCUCUUACCCUACCUGUUAGGGGUUAACUCUCUCUCUCUCUUACCCUACCUGUUAGGGGUUAACUCUCUCUCUCUCUUACCCUACCUGUUAGGUGUUAACUCUCUCUCUCUCUUACCCUACCUGUUAGGGGUUAACUCUCUCUCUCUUACCCUACCUGUUAGGGGUUAACUCUCUCUCUCUCUUACCCUACCUGUUAGGGGUUAACUCUCUCUCUCUCUUACCCUACCUGUUAGGGGUUGACUCUCUCUCUCUCUUACCCUACCUGUUAGGGGUUAACUCUCUCUCUCUCUUACCCUACCUGUUAGGGGUUAACUCUCUCUCUCUCUUACCCUACCUGUUAGGGGUUGACUCUCUCUCUCUUACCCUACCUGUUAGGGGUUAACUCUCUCUCUCUCUUACCCUACCUGUUAGGGGUUAACUCUCUCUCUCUUGCCCUACCUGUCCUAAGGACCCAUUUGAAGGGAUCUCAGAAGAGUACAGGAAGGCCCUGGGAGAGGAGGAGCACAGGCUGCUCACUGGGUUCUUUAAUAAAACCGGCACUGAUUCCAUCCUGCUGGAGAUGCACGAGUUCCUGAUACUGGUCCUGAAGGGUCCCCGUGCAUCUGACACCUACAGGCCUGACUGGGGUCUGAAAGACACACUUGUGGCCUACAUGGAACGUAAGAACCUGGACAUGCCACCUGAUGUCGAGGAGUUCUUCCCUGAAGAGAUCGAACUGUCUCAGUACAUCGAAGCCUGGAAGUUUGCGGUGGCAUUGAAACGGGAGAGGAGUCAGAGGUAGCUCCAACCUCUCACACUCACGCUCAUUGAUUUAAUAUGCAAUGGAGAAGAAGGGGGAAAAAAACAGCAAAUGUAAACACAUCUGGGAGCCCCCUCGUCAUUAGUGAAGGAAGGUACAAAGCUGCAGUUACUGUCUCCUAGCGGUCUAAACGGCUGCCUCCAGAACACAUAUGCCUCUGCAGCAUGGGUUCCAAUCCGGCACAAUGAUAUCUCAGCAAAAAACUCUCUAUACUAUCUUUCCCACUGUCUCUCCUCUAUCCAAUAAAACAUAUAUUUUUUUAAAUGAUUAAAAAAAAGAUAUACCUUUUUUUAAAGCUGCGGUUACUAGGAAAGGAUAAGAGCAAUAGUAAAGUGAAUACGUGAAUUUUGUUUCGCCGUAAGUUGGUUAGCUAGCCAGAGUUAUGUGCAUUUUAUUUACAGCUAUCUACCACUCGUACUCGCUUUUCUUCAUGCCUCCAAAAUGCUGAGACUCUAGUUAUGUCAAGGUUCUGACAAUGGAAGAACAGGUGAUGGCAUUCCAGGCCUUUACAUUUUUUGAUUUAAUGUUAAAAAAAUAUAUAAUAAUUGGGGGAAUAAUUACUUUUAUUAGAUUUACUUUAACUUCAAUUAAAUGUAGGUUGGUUAGGCCUACUGUCAUCAUAGUUUCUGACACAUCACUAGCUUUUAAAUGUGUAAUAAGUACAUUAAACACAAGAAUCGGGAACAUUGUCAGUGAAGAGUUGUGAAAAUAUGUAGUAAGGAAAAUGCAUAGAGUUAGAUAGAGGACUCAUCUUUGUAUUUGUGCCAUUGUAGUGUCUGUAACAGCCUCAAUGGCACUGCCCAUUCUAUCUCCAAUUUUGAAGUAGUCAAUUUUCUUAUUUUUUUGUGUUUAAAAAAAACAUAUAUAUAUAUACACAAAUAUUGGUGGUUUACUGGCACCAGCAGUGCUGAAGUCUUAAACUAAAUCAUGUGUGUUAUUCCAGUUGACUAUUUAAAAAUUGUGGAAGCCUUAAAUAUCAAUCUUAAAAAGGGUUAUAUCCAUUUAGAGUCCUCUAACUUACUAUGGUAAAAUGUCAGCAUCAGAACAUGUACCAGUUACACCUCCGACAUUGCAAUGAUAUGCAGUUUAAUGUAGAUCUGAUUAAAUCUAGAUGAUAUGCAGUUUAAUGUAGAUCUGAUUAAAUCUAGAUGAUAUGCAGUUUAAUGUAGAUCUGAUUAAAUCUAGAUGAUAUGCAGUUUAAUGUAGAUCUGAUUAAAUCUAGAUGAUAUGCAGUUUAAUGUAGAUCUGAUUAAAUCUAGAUAUGCUAUGCAGUUUAAUGUAGAUCUGAUUAAAUCUAGAUGAUAUGCUAUGCAGUUUAAUGUAGAUCUGAUUAAAUCUAGAUGAUAUGCAGUUUAAUGUAGAUCUGAUUAAAUCUAGAUGAUAUGCAGUUUAAUGUAGAUCUGAUUAAAUCUAGAUGAUAUGCAGUUUAAUGUAGAUCUGAUUAAAUCUAGAUGAUAUGCAGUUUAAUGUAGAUCUGAUUAAAUCUAGAUAUGCUAUGCAGUUUAAUGUAGAUCUGAUUAAAUCUAGAUGAUAUGCAGUUUAAUGUAGAUCUGAUUAAAUCUAGAUGAUAUGCAGUUUAAUGUAGAUCUGAUUAAAUCUAGAUAUGCUAUGCAGUUUAAUGUAGAUCUGAUUAAAUCUAGAUAUGCUAUGCAGUUUAAUGUAGAUCUGAUUAAAUCUAGAUGAUAUGCAGUUUAAUGUAGAUCUGAUUAAAUCUAGAUGAUAUGCAGUUUAAUGUAGAUCUGAUUAAAUCUAGAUAUGCUAUGCAGUUUAAUGUAGAUCUGAUUAAAUCUAGAUGAUAUGCAGUUUAAUGUAGAUCUGAUUAAAUCUAGAUGAUAUGCUAUGCAGUUUAAUGUAGAUCUGAUUAAAUCUAGAUGAUAUGCAGUUUAAUGUAGAUCUGAUUAAAUCUAGAUGAUAUGCAGUUUAAUGUAGAUCUGAUUAAAUCUAGAUAUGCUAUGCAGUUUAAUGUAGAUCUGAUUAAAUCUAGAUAUGCUAUGCAGUUUAAUGUAGAUCUGAUUAAAUCUAGAUAUGCUAUGCAGUUUAAUGUAGAUCUGAUUAAAUCUAGAUAUGAUUAUGCAGUUUAAUGUAGAUCUGAUUAAAUCUAGAUAUGCUAUGCAGUUUAAUGUAGAUCUGAUUAAAUCUAGAUAUGCUAUGCAGUUUAAUGUAGAUCUGAUUAAAUCUAGAUAUGCUAUGCAGUUUAAUGUAGAUCUGAUUAAAUCUAGAUGAUAUGCUAUGCUGUUUAAUGUAGAUCUGAUUAAAUCUAGAUAUGCUAUGCAGUUUAAUGUAGAUAUGAUUAAAUCUAGAUGAUAUGCAGUUUAAUGUAGAUCUGAUUAAAUCUAGAUGAUAUGCAGUUUAAUGUAGAUCUGAUUAAAUCUAGAUGAUAUGCUAUGAAGUUUAAUGUAGAUAUGAUUAAAUCUAGAUGACAUGCUAUGCAGUUUAAUGUAGAUCUGAUUAAAUCUAGAUGAUAUGCUGUUUAAUGUAGAUCUGAUUUAAAUCUAGGCCCUAGACUUGAAGUAUAGUAAAUUGUCAAUUUGUUCAUUUGGAAGUUAUUUUAUAUUGCAGUUGGGCAAUUUAUCAUGAAUCUCAAGGAUGAAAUUUGUUUGUGAAAAAUGUUAUUGUGCUAAUUAAAACAAUGAUGGAAACAAAAAAUAA
Salvelinus fontinalis (brook trout) is the source of this 4511-nucleotide long non-coding RNA. RefSeq lists it as uncharacterized. Lineage: Eukaryota; Metazoa; Chordata; Actinopteri; Salmoniformes; Salmonidae. The record is from RefSeq and is a predicted model, not a curated record. The transcript has 2 exons.